UGCUCAAUGACCCUUCAGACUCAGGCUGGUGAAGAGGAGAGAUGGUAGCUGAGGAAUAACUGGGAACCCAAGACCAGGAUAGGGGUGAUGUCAAGGGGAAGGUUGUUGAUGGGAAAGUGUUUGUAUCCAUCCCUGCGCAGGAAUCCAUUUUGAGGGGCCCCAUCAUGGAGCUGCCACAUGAAGCAUCUUGUUCAGGUGACAGAUGAAUGGAUUCUUGCCAUGCCACCAAAGGAAAUAGGAGGUUGCUCUCAAGGAUGAAUUUCAACUUGGGAAGUUGAUUUUAUAAUAAUAAUAAAAAAAACCCCACAAUCAGUGACUCUA
Long non-coding RNA from Phascolarctos cinereus (koala), 321 nucleotides. RefSeq lists it as uncharacterized. The record is from RefSeq and is a predicted model, not a curated record. NCBI's taxonomy places the organism in Eukaryota, Metazoa, Chordata, Mammalia, Diprotodontia, Phascolarctidae.